This 695-nucleotide long non-coding RNA is filed under the name Vulpes vulpes (red fox). Its description in RNAcentral is "lncRNA (ENSVVUG00000003662.1)". Lineage: Eukaryota; Metazoa; Chordata; Mammalia; Carnivora; Canidae. The record is from RNAcentral.
CAGGACUCUAAGGAAUAAGGAGUUAAGUAUGUGGGCAUUUUGCAAGGUCCUGAUCUUUUUUCCCUCUGUUUAAAUUAAUUUCCACCCCCUACCUCCCACUAAUCAGUUCAUGACUCUGAAGCUUCAGGUCGACUCACGAUUGCUGCUCGCCUGUCACUCCCAGGGCUACAGUCUGGCACAGGUGUUUCCAUUCCUCCUCUGUCACCUCCCGAAUCCAUCCACAGCCAUGGUUCUCCCUUGAAAGAAGAAACUGCCGCGGAGUCGCAUCUAGUCCCUUACUGUGUGAAAGUCGGUGUCUUGGCCUAACACAGAAGCAUUUUUUACUAUUUCUCUUCUAGAAGUUUGGAGUGUGCACAAGCCUCACAUCACGCUGAGAGGCGCUCUCACAGGCGGUGCCUCUGUGCAAUCUGCGGAAAAGGGUGAAGAAACUUUAUGGACAAAAGAUGGAAGGAAGCCUGGAGGAUCAAGAAACUCAGCAAACCUAUUAAGUACUGAAAUGAUCUCUGAUCUCUUUACGGAGGAGGAAAUGAAGGAAGAGAGAGUCGAAGUAACACGCCCCCAAGCACCCAGCUGAUACGCAAUGACUCCAGAUUCAAACCCAGGCAUUCUGACUCUGAGGAAUACAGACCCUACCAACUGAUAGCACUUGGUAAGGAUCAAAUAAAGUCAAAACAUGAAAAUGUCUUAUAAACUAU